RNAcentral lists this long non-coding RNA (1429 nucleotides) under Pongo abelii (Sumatran orangutan). RNAcentral's name for it is "lincRNA". The record is from RNAcentral. Lineage: Eukaryota; Metazoa; Chordata; Mammalia; Primates; Hominidae.
GAUAACCAGCAAAAUGGCAAAGGGAGGCAGGAAAACCACCAGCAGGGAGGCCAGUGUGGGUUUAAGGUGGUGGCAUUCCCCAGCCCUGCCUGGCACCAGCCUCCCAAGCCUGGGACCUGGGGGCUCCCUGCCUCCUUCCAGAUGGACGAAGUGAGACCAGGACCUCAGACUGGGGGCUCCCUGCUGAGUCUGUGGCCCUGAGGGCUGUUCAGCUCUAAGCGUGGGCGCACGGACAGGCCAGACGGGGCGGUAUUGCUCUGAUCGCCCUGCAGGAAUCACAGCCAGAUGGGGGCUUCCCAAGCGCUGCCCACCUGGCUGGCACGCAGGAGGAAGUGGCAUAGACUGGGGAGGAGGAAGCACUCUCACUCCUGCUGGAGCCUCUUCUCCAGCAGGAACCCCGAUUGGCCCAGCCAUCCCUGGGGAGCCCCAUCCCACGUGCCCCGCACCCCGUGUCUGUCAGCACCGAUCAGGGUCUCCCAGACACCUGCUCUGGGGUUGCCAUGGGGACGAGCGGCAGGGUGAGUGUGGCGCACACAGCUGUCUGUGGACACACAAAGGGCAUGCACACAUGUGUCUGUGCUCACCUGCACGUGUUCACAUGGACUGGGCACCGCCGGAGGUGUCCACACAGCAGUGUACACGGACCCCCCUGCAGAUGUGCACACACCCAGCAAGGCAUGUAUGUGUUCUCGCACCAGGAAGUGGGUCACGCCCCACACCACACACCGUACACUCUGUCCCUGGAGCACGCACCUGCCUGGGUGCACCAGGCAGUCUAAGCCCAUGUCGCCUAUGUGUACAUGUAUGUGCAAAUACCUACUCAGGCACACCAGUGUGUGUACACGGCUGCCAGGCACACUGGGCAGUCCAAGCCCAUGUCACCUAUGUGUACACGCCUGCCCAGGCUCUUGGAAUCAGGCACUUUCUGAGGCUGCCCCGAUGGGCGUUCCCUUCCCCAGCCAGUACAUCCUCUCUUCCUAACCCCACGUCUGCUGGACUCUGAAGGUGUCCACGCGGCCAUGAACAUCUCCAGGGCCUGCACUGCCCACCACCAGGACCCCAGCGGAACCCAGCAUCUGGUCACUAGGGAUCUGCGUGGGCAGUCACUUCCUAGGGGCCUGUACCCCUUAAGGAGAGUGAAGGAUGGGCCGGCCCAGCUGGGGCUGAAUCCUCACAGCCUUGUUCACGGGAGAGGCUGACCUGCGCCCAUUUUACAGACAACAAAACUGAGGCUGAGAGAGUAACAGCCCGGCCAGCACACGGCAGAGCGUGGCGCAGGCCCAGGCCGGCCUUGUGAGGUCCCUGCUGUUCCCUGCAGGGUACAUAGAGGCGGAAGCUGAUGCAGCCCCCACUGGGCGUUCUUUCACUUUCUCUCCUUUGAUUCCACAGUCCUCAGACCUAGGAAUUAAGGAAACGUCCCUAGUUUCCG